GACGUAGGGGGCGAGCGUUGUCCGGAAUUACUGGGCGUAAAGAGCACGUAGGCGGAUAAUUAAGUCAGGUGUGAAAGACCGCAGCCUAACUGCGGGGUUGCACUUGAGACUGGUUAUCUUGAGGGCAGGAGAGGUCAGUAGAAUUCCUGGCGUAGCGGUGAAAUGCGUAGAAAUCAGGAGGAAUACCAGUGGCGAAGGCGGCUGACUGGACUGACCCUGACGCUGAGGUGCGAAAGCGUGGGUAGCAAACAGGAUUAGAUACCCU
RNAcentral lists this ribosomal RNA (265 nucleotides) under uncultured prokaryote. RNAcentral describes it as "partial 16S ribosomal RNA". It matches the Rfam family "Bacterial small subunit ribosomal RNA", at positions 524 to 788 of the family's 1533-position model. The record is from RNAcentral.